ACGGAGGGUGCAAGCGUUAUCCGGAUUCACUGGGUUUAAAGGGAGCGUAGGUGGGCAGGUAAGUCAGUGGUGAAAUCUCCGGGCUUAACCCGGAAACUGCCAUUGAUACUAUUUGUCUUGAAUAUCCUGGAGGUAAGCGGAGUAUGUCAUGUAGCGGUGAAGUGCUUAGAUAUGACAUAGAACACCAAUUGCGAAGGCAGCUUACUACGGGAUUAUUGACACUGAGGCUCGAAAGCGUGGGGAUCAAACAGGAUUAGAUACCCUGGUAGUCCACGCCCUAAACGAUGGAUACUCGACAUUUGCGAUAUACUGUAAGUGUCUGAGAGAAAGAAUUAAGUAUCCCACCUGGGAAGUACGAUCGCAAGAUUG
This 369-nucleotide ribosomal RNA is filed under the name uncultured bacterium. RNAcentral describes it as "bacterial SSU rRNA". It matches the Rfam family "Bacterial small subunit ribosomal RNA", at positions 525 to 896 of the family's 1533-position model. The record is from RNAcentral.